UGUUCCAGUUUCAGAGGAUCCUGUAGC
RNAcentral lists this non-coding RNA (27 nucleotides) under Cricetulus griseus (Chinese hamster). Lineage: Eukaryota; Metazoa; Chordata; Mammalia; Rodentia; Cricetidae. The record is from RNAcentral.